GUAAUGUCUGGGAAACUGCCUGAUGGAGGGGGAUAACUACUGGAAACGGUGGCUAAUACCGCAUAACGUCGCAAGACCAAAGAGGGGGACCUUCGGGCCUCUUGCCAUCAGAUGUGCCCAGAUGGGAUUAGCUAGUUGGUGAGGUAACGGCUCACCAAGGCGACGAUCCCUAGCUGGUCUGAGAGGAUGACCAGCCACACUGGAACUGAGACACGGUCCAGACUCCUACGGGAGGCAGCAGUGGGGAAUAUUGCACAAUGGGCGCAAGCCUGAUGCAGCCAUGCCGCGUGUAUGAAGAAGGCCUUCGGGUUGUAAAGUACUUUCAGCGGGGAGGAAGGUGUUGUGGUUAAUAACCGCAGCAAUUGACGUUACCCGCAGAAGAAGCACCGGCUAACUCCGUGCCAGCAGCCGCGGUAAUACGGAGGGUGCAAGCGUUAAUCGGAAUUACUGGGCGUAAAGCGCACGCAGGCGGUCUGUCAAGUCGGAUGUGAAAUCCCCGGGCUCAACCUGGGAACUGCAUUCGAAACUGGCAGGCUUGAGUCUUGUAGAGGGGGGUAGAAUUCCAGGUGUAGCGGUGAAAUGCGUAGAGAUCUGGAGGAAUACCGGUGGCGAAGGCGGCCCCCUGGACAAAGACUGACGCUCAGGUGCGAAAGCGUGGGGAGCAAACAGGAUUAGAUACCCUGGUAGUCCACGCCGUAAACGAUGUCUACUUGGAGGUUGUGCCCUUGAGGCGUGGCUUCCGGAGCUAACGCGUUAAGUAGACCGCCUGGGGAGUACGGCCGCAAGGUUAAAACUCAAAUGAAUUGACGGGGGCCCGCACAAGCGGUGGAGCAUGUGGUUUAAUUCGAUGCAACGCGAAGAACCUUACCUGGUCUUGACAUCCACGGAAGUUUUCAGAGAUGAGAAUGUGCCUUCGGGAACCGUGAGACAGGUGCUGCAUGGCUGUCGUCAGCUCGUGUUGUGAAAUGUUGGGUUAAGUCCCGCAACGAGC
RNAcentral lists this ribosomal RNA (991 nucleotides) under Salmonella enterica. RNAcentral's name for it is "bacterial SSU rRNA". It matches the Rfam family "Bacterial small subunit ribosomal RNA", at positions 110 to 1097 of the family's 1533-position model. Lineage: Bacteria; Pseudomonadati; Pseudomonadota; Gammaproteobacteria; Enterobacterales; Enterobacteriaceae. The record is from RNAcentral.